AAAUUGAAGAGUUUGAUCAUGGCUCAGAUUGAACGCUGGCGGCAGGCCUAACACAUGCAAGUCGAACGGUAGCACAGAGAGCUUGCUCUCGGGUGACGAGUGGCGGACGGGUGAGUAAUGUCUGGGAAACUGCCCGAUGGAGGGGGAUAACUACUGGAAACGGUAGCUAAUACCGCAUAACGUCGCAAGACCAAAGUGGGGGACCUUCGGGCCUCACACCAUCGGAUGUGCCCAGAUGGGAUUAGCUAGUAGGUGGGGUAACGGCUCACCUAGGCGACGAUCCCUAGCUGGUCUGAGAGGAUGACCAGCCACACUGGAACUGAGACACGGUCCAGACUCCUACGGGAGGCAGCAGUGGGGAAUAUUGCACAAUGGGCGCAAGCCUGAUGCAGCCAUGCCGCGUGUAUGAAGAAGGCCUUCGGGUUGUAAAGUACUUUCAGCGAGGAGGAAGGCGUUGUGGUUAAUAACCACAGCGAUUGACGUUACUCGCAGAAGAAGCACCGGCUAACUCCGUGCCAGCAGCCGCGGUAAUACGGAGGGUGCAAGCGUUAAUCGGAAUUACUGGGCGUAAAGCGCACGCAGGCGGUUUGUUAAGUCAGAUGUGAAAUCCCCGGGCUCAACCUGGGAACUGCAUUUGAAACUGGCAAGCUUGAGUCUCGUAGAGGGGGGUAGAAUUCCAGGUGUAGCGGUGAAAUGCGUAGAGAUCUGGAGGAAUACCGGUGGCGAAGGCGGCCCCCUGGACAAAGACUGACGCUCAGGUGCGAAAGCGUGGGGAGCAAACAGGAUUAGAUACCCUGGUAGUCCACGCCGUAAACGAUGUCUACUUGGAGGUUGUGCCCUUGAGGCGUGGCUUCCGGAGCUAACGCGUUAAGUAGACCGCCUGGGGAGUACGGCCGCAAGGUUAAAACUCAAAUGAAUUGACGGGGGCCCGCACAAGCGGUGGAGCAUGUGGUUUAAUUCGAUGCAACGCGAAGAACCUUACCUGGUCUUGACAUCCACGGAAGUUUUCAGAGAUGAGAAUGUGCCUUCGGGAACCGUGAGACAGGUGCUGCAUGGCUGUCGUCAGCUCGUGUUGUGAAAUGUUGGGUUAAGUCCCGCAACGAGCGCAACCCUUAUCCUUUGUUGCCAGCGGUUAGGCCGGGAACUCAAAGGAGACUGCCAGUGAUAAACUGGAGGAAGGUGGGGAUGACGUC
RNAcentral lists this ribosomal RNA (1193 nucleotides) under Salmonella enterica subsp. enterica serovar Kentucky. RNAcentral describes it as "bacterial SSU rRNA". It matches the Rfam family "Bacterial small subunit ribosomal RNA", at positions 1 to 1186 of the family's 1533-position model. Lineage: Bacteria; Pseudomonadati; Pseudomonadota; Gammaproteobacteria; Enterobacterales; Enterobacteriaceae. The record is from RNAcentral.